This is a long non-coding RNA of Octopus sinensis (East Asian common octopus), 153 nucleotides long. RefSeq lists it as uncharacterized. The record is from RefSeq and is a predicted model, not a curated record. NCBI's taxonomy places the organism in Eukaryota, Metazoa, Mollusca, Cephalopoda, Octopoda, Octopodidae. The transcript has 3 exons.
AGAGUAAAGAUUGUAAGCAAGCUAAUGGGCAGAAUCAGAAAAAAAUUCAGGAGAAUAACAAUAAUAGGCCUAUCUCCUCUCGACUACCAUAUUUGUUCCCCUGAAUCACUACUUUCCUCAUCACUUUCACCAGUUUGAUUGUCCAAAUUACUC